Epinephelus moara (kelp grouper) is the source of this 859-nucleotide long non-coding RNA. RefSeq lists it as uncharacterized. The record is from RefSeq and is a predicted model, not a curated record. Lineage: Eukaryota; Metazoa; Chordata; Actinopteri; Perciformes; Serranidae. The transcript has 4 exons.
AGAACCUGUGAUAGACAAACUGGUGCACCAGCUGCUGGGAGCUGCAGUCGACAGGAGACUUGGGCAACUAGAAGCUGUCUCCUGCCCCUACACUGCAGGCCAGCUGACCCCAGAACAGAGCUUAGGAACAGUGUGGCCCUAACUAAUAGGCCAAAUCAGAGAUAAAGAUGCAAGCCUGGAGCCUAAUCUCGAAUACUACUGGACCCAUCAGCCUAAUACUUUAUGUGCACAUGUAUGCUGCCAUAGCUGCGGCCAGGUUUGUUCUGACCAUACCACACUGCGAGUGUUUCAAAAGUGGAGCGUUUUCAUCUAAGUGUCAGCUCAGAUGCUUGGACGCAGUGUCGGCCAUCCAUGCUGCAGCACUUCCCCGCAAACACCAACAAGAGCCUUCACUGUCUCAUCUCAGUGGUUAAAGAUGCACCUGGCCGCUGCCACUCAGCCUCACUGUUGUGCAGCUGAGGGAUCAUGGUAAUGCUACCUUGAGCCUGUUUUGUUUAACAGGGUGUAUGUUGUGAAGUGGGACCUGGUUGCAUUUUAAAAAGAUUGCUUUAAGCUUGCAUAUGCAACUGUUCCUUUUCCUUGUGGGCUCACAUGAGAGGGAAGUAAAGAUUCUUAAGAGACACCAGCUGUCAGUCAAGAGCGCAGUCCUUGUGCAAGAAAAGAAAUGGCUCCUGAUUUUCAUAAGUUUAUACUGCAAUAUUCUGUCCUCAAAACUCCUGAGGGAAGAUCCAAUAAAGCAGCUGGGAGUUUAAUAAGUCAUAAUAAGGUAAUUAUACAGCAUAUUUAUGUAACUCUUAUGUAUUAUACUGUGAAACAAGGUAUGAUUUAUGCACAUCAGCUCCCACACUUUGGUUACUUC